RNAcentral lists this ribosomal RNA (482 nucleotides) under uncultured bacterium. Its description in RNAcentral is "bacterial SSU rRNA". It matches the Rfam family "Bacterial small subunit ribosomal RNA", at positions 28 to 526 of the family's 1533-position model. The record is from RNAcentral.
GAUGAACGCUGGCGGCGUGCCUAACACAUGCAAGUCGAGCGGAGUCUUCCCUUCGGGGUUGACUUAGCGGCGGACGGGUGAGUAACGCGUGGGUAACCUGCCUUGUACAGGGGAAUAACAACGAGAAAUCGUUGCUAAUACCGCAUAUGCUCACACUACCACAUGGUAGAGUGAGGAAAGAUUUUAUCGGUAAAAGAUGGACCCGCGUCUGAUUAGCUAGUUGGUGAGGUAAUGGCUCACCAAGGCGACGAUCAGUAGCCGACCUGAGAGGGUGAUCGGACACAUUGGGACUGAGACACGGCCCAGACUCCUACGGGAGGCAGCAGUGGGGAAUAUUGCGCAAUGGGGGAAACCCUGACGCAGCAACGCCGCGUGAAUGAUGACGGUCUUCGGAUUGUAAAGUUCUAUCAGCAGGGAUGAAUAAAUGACAGUACCUGACUAAGAAGCCCCGGCUAACUACGUGCCAGCCGCCGCCGUAAUAC